This 75-nucleotide transfer RNA is filed under the name Chloroflexota bacterium. RNAcentral's name for it is "Chloroflexi bacterium tRNA-Met". It matches the Rfam family "tRNA". Rfam says of the family: Transfer RNA (tRNA) molecules are approximately 80 nucleotides in length. Their secondary structure includes four short double-helical elements and three loops (D, anti-codon, and T loops). The record is from RNAcentral. RNAcentral also lists the same sequence under 2 other names. Lineage: Bacteria; Bacillati; Chloroflexota.
GGCGAUGUAGCUCAGUGGUAGAGCACACGACUCAUAAUCGUGCUGUCGCUGGUUCGAUCCCAGCCAUCGCCACCA